UACUUUGGUGGCGACCGGCGCACGGGUGCGUAACGCGUAUGCAACCUACCUUUAACAGGGGCAUAACACUGAGAAAUUGGUACUAAUUCCCCAUAACAUUCGAGAAGGCAUCUUCUUGGGUUAAAAACUCCGGUGGUUAAAGAUGGGCAUGCGUUGUAUUAGCUAGUUGGUGAGGUAACGGCUCACCAAGGCAACGAUACAUAGGGGGACUGAGAGGUUAACCCCCCACAUUGGUACUGAGACACGGACCAAACUCCUACGGAAGGCAGCAG
Molecule: ribosomal RNA, 272 nt
Filed under: uncultured bacterium
Lineage: Bacteria
Description: partial 16S ribosomal RNA
Rfam family: Bacterial small subunit ribosomal RNA
Source: RNAcentral